CAUGAGGCAAGAAGCAAGAUGUACUGUGCAUUCUUCAUGGUCUCCUCAGGACAGCUUCCUCAGAGAAAUGACACCAGUGCUACUUCCAGUUAUAUCCCUGUUUUCAUGCCUUUGUCCCAGCCUAAUGAAACUCCAGGCUGAUCUGCAGAAGGGCAGGAAAAAAUUGCCUUCCAGAUGAAAUAUGUGGCAAGAAGAGCUAUAUUUCCAAACAAUUUCAGAGAAAUAAUUUUGUAAGUUAUUUGUCACUCUGCUGCACAAAAUGAUCAGACACACUGUCCAAUCAACACCAAACCAGAAACUAACAGGUAUGAAAAUGUUCUGUUUCAUCUAACUAUUUUUCCAGUGAUCCAGAUUUACUGUGAGUAAAUUUACCGCAUCUCACUGCUGGGCUGCAGCUCUCAUCUACAGAGCUGUCACAGUGAUGGCUCCCAGCACUUUGGGUUUUAACCAUUAAAACUAUUUUUAUGAUGUUCAAAAUACUUCAGAAACAACUGCUGUUAUUGCCUAAUUUUUGUGCCUAAUUACUGUGGCAGUGGGCAGCCUAUGAAGAUCUGUGAUGGUGAUGAGAAUUCAUUUACUCUAACCUCUCAUUUUCAAUUACAAAUAAUGCUGUGUGGAGAUCAUUUUGCCCAGAGAAGGUCUGGUGUAAUUCAAAACACCCCCCACAUCUUUAGGAUGCUGCAGCCACUCUGAAGUGUCUGACACUGCUGGUGCUUUAUGGAAAAAUGUAUUUCAGAAAAUAGCUGGGGAGAGGUGCCCACAGAGGUGCUGCAGAAUUUAAUUUCCCACGUCUAGGUUGUCUGGUGGAUGUUUGUGAGGUGUUUCACAGGGCUGUGAGCUCUUUGAUGGCUUUGGAGGUG
This 860-nucleotide long non-coding RNA is filed under the name Zonotrichia albicollis (white-throated sparrow). RNAcentral describes it as "lncRNA (ENSZALG00000014158.1)". Lineage: Eukaryota; Metazoa; Chordata; Aves; Passeriformes; Passerellidae. The record is from RNAcentral.